Molecule: ribosomal RNA, 228 nt
Filed under: uncultured bacterium
Lineage: Bacteria
Description: partial 16S ribosomal RNA
Rfam family: Bacterial small subunit ribosomal RNA
Source: RNAcentral
UGCGCAGGCGGACUAAUAAGUCAGUGGUGAAAUCUCUCGGCUCAACCGAGAAACUGCCAUUGAAACUGUUAGUCUUGAGUACAGUUGUAGUGGGCGGAAUAUAGCAUGUAGCGGUGAAAUGCUUAGAUAUGCUAUAGAACACCGAUCGCGAAGGCAGCUCACUAAGCUGUAACUGACGCUCAGGCACGAAAGCGUGGGGAGCAAACAGGAUUAGAUACCCUGGUAGUC